Phacochoerus africanus (Common warthog) is the source of this 536-nucleotide long non-coding RNA. RefSeq lists it as uncharacterized. NCBI's taxonomy places the organism in Eukaryota, Metazoa, Chordata, Mammalia, Artiodactyla, Suidae. The record is from RefSeq and is a predicted model, not a curated record. The transcript has 3 exons.
UGUGGACUGGCGGCCAGACAUGGCGACCCGGCGGUGAAUGAUGGCGGUGGGGUCGAGGUCCCACCACCGUGGGCCCCCACCGCGCGGCGCGGGACCGGUCCUUCAACACUCAGGCCGCUUGUGGUGCAAGGGAGCUCACGAAGAGACUGCAGCACGGCGGCGGCGGCAACUCUUACUGUCGAAGCAUGUUGCAAGAUUGUGUUUUCCUUCUUGAAGGUAAACCAGCUGCAUGGUUGUUGGGACAAUAAAAUAAGAGCAGAAGUGAAGUAUGACACUUUCUAAGUGGAAGACUGCAACACUGUUGCUCUCCUCUCCAGCCCUUCUUUCCCCUCCUCUGAGGAAUGCAAUCCCAGGAGCUCACAUCCACGUGGAAGUGGUGUAAGAGUGGACCAAGGUGGAAGGCUGAGCAAAGCCAUGGAAGGACACAGCAAGGAGUGUUGCCUGGAGCCCAGCAGAUUUGUAAUAAUGGCCAGAACUCUAGGAGUCAGCCUAGAGUAAGAGAACCAGUCCCAUCCCAGGGAUGCAGUAUGGAAACA